Hyla sarda is the source of this 4770-nucleotide long non-coding RNA. RefSeq lists it as uncharacterized. Lineage: Eukaryota; Metazoa; Chordata; Amphibia; Anura; Hylidae. The record is from RefSeq and is a predicted model, not a curated record. The transcript has 3 exons.
UAAUCUUUUCUGUUAAGCUUCAGCUCUAGGCUCGGCUUGGGGCACGAGUGGAGCUUAGGAAUGUCACUGCUGCUACGAGUCCAGCAGAGAGCAGCAGCGGCUAGGGGCAUUGGCAGAGCUUAGUGACAUCACCGCUGCUGCUCCCUGCUUGGUCCCGCUGCUAAAGAACAGCAGUGGUGAUGUCCCUAUGCUCCGCCCAUGCACCAAGCUGGCCAGAGCUGAAGCUUAACAGAGAAGAUCACCGGAGAUUCCCGCCACUGAACGGGAAAAGGUAAGUACCGUUGUCACCAGUGUCACCUGCACUAUCUGUCAGUACCGCCACUUUUGUGUAGGUGACACUGGUGACAUAUUUCCAUUAAAAACAAUAAAAGAAAAAGAAGGUUAAUAAAAUAAUUAAAAAAGAAAAAAACUUCUACAAAAAUAUCCCUAAAAAAACAUAUUUGGUAUGAAAUAUAAAAUUAAGAAAGUAGAAAAAAUAUAUAAAAAUUCCCCCAAAAACUAUAUAACCCCAUACAAAUCCCUCACAAUGCCAUAACCAUGCACUGCCUGUCAGAAUAAUGCUAAGAGGAAUAAUACACUGCACCACAAUAGUAGUGCAGUGUUUUAUAGAAAUAAUCAGAUCUUUGGUGAAAGGUUGCCCUCUAAUGGGAAUAUGGGUGAAAAAAACAACCCAUAAAAUAAAAGUGUAAUAACAUGAUUUAUUAACCCCCCCCUCUCCCCCACCAACAAAAAAAAGAAAAAGAAAACAGUAGAAAGGCAGAAAUGCUUUUGAAAAAAGAAAUACACAAUAAUAAUUUAUAAAAUGUUCUGCCCCCUCCCCCAAAGAAAACAUAUAUUACCCUUAAAAUGUAUGAAUAAAUAAAUGAAAAUUAAGACAUAACCCAAACAUUACAAAAGCAAACCCUCCAAAAACCUGUCAAUAGUCUGCGUCAACAUCAUCCUGGGAUGAUGGGAGGAGUAGUACACUGCACUACUAUAGAAAUAAAAAUCCCUAUCAUCUAAAUCCCAAUGUGUUCCAUUUUUUUUUGUUCCUUUUUCUUAUGCGGUUUCAUAAUCCCUGAGAUAAGUAGUUAUGGCCCUAGAGUGUUAUAUAUAUUAGCGUCUGUAGCAUGUAUCAGGAACAUGUUAUCAUACCUGUGUCUUUUUACAGGUGACUGAUGUUCGGUGAGAAGGUGAAAGUGACCUAUACCCCCGUCAACUGCAAGAAAGGAACCACAGGACAGGUGACUGAUGUUCGGUGAGAAGGUGAAAGUGACCUAUACCCCCGUCAACUGCAAGAAAGGAACCACAGGACAGGUAAUUAAUAUUUAUAUUAAUUACUGAUAACAAUCAGGCUAGAUGUAAUAUCUAGACCUGCAGAGAUGUCAUAGUCUCCACCUUAUACAUGAACAUAUAUGUGUUGUUAAUAAGCAUAUCGUCUAUGGACAGCUUCUUAUAUAACACAACCAUGUCUCAGGUACAGAGAAUAGGAACAUUUAUGAUCCUUAAUAUCUGUUUUUUAUUUGUAGGAAUUCCUUUAUCAAUAUUUAAUAGAAUAGACCCAACUUACCCCAAGGUUUACAAGUUUCCUUUGGACAAACUGACUGCAGAUUUAGAACAUAACUGUAAUGUAAAGAAAAAUCUAUAAUUUGUUUUUGCUACAAAUAUAUAAUUAUAAAAAUAAUGAGAAUUAAAAAACUAUAUAUUAAAAGACUAGAGCCAUAAUAAUACAUAGCCUGUUGAAAUAAUCAUGAAGCGCAUAAUACACUGCACUUUAAUACUAGUGCAGUGUAUUAUAUGAGCGAUCUUAAGAUCGCUGUUAAAAGUCCCCUUUGUAAAAAAAAACGUAAAGGCUAGCUAGGAAUUUUCAUCCGGAAUAACUAUUGCCGGAGGUUCCAAGCGUACAUUACCGUCAUCAUAGAUGGCAAUGUAUUCUGCCCGGAUCCUAUGUAAAUGAAGUUAAAAAUAAACAAUUUAUAAAAUAAUUCACCCCACCCAAACCCCUACAAAAAAAUAAAUGUUUAUAUAAAAAAGAAUAAAAAAAAAUAACCCAUUUCUCCCCUCACAUAAGCUAUAAUUAAAAAUCGUCUGUCAACAUAAUGCUGACAGCGAUAAUACACUGCACUAUAACACUAUUGCAAUGUAUUAUAUGGGUGAUCACAAGAUCACUGGGGAAAGGCCUCUCAUCGAAUUUGUUAAAAAAAAGACCAAAAAAUAAAAAAUAAAGAAAAAAAAGUAAAAAAAAAUAUUCAAACAGAACACCCUAAAAAAAAACAUAAUAAAAAAAGAAAAAAAAAUUUUAAACCAAAAACCCGAAAUAAAACCCCUGACAAUACUGUAACCAUACAUUGUCUUUUAGAAUAAUGACAAGAGGCGUAAGACACUAGUGCAGUGUAUUAUUACAUAGCUAUCGAAAGAUUGCUGCUCAAAGUCCCUUGAUGGGAAUAGUUAAAGGAAAUUUGUCACCAGUUUCACCUGCACUAACCUGUCGGUACCAACAGAUAGUGCAGGUGACACUAAUGACAAAGGUCCUUGCCUUGUCCCGUUCCGUGGAGGGGAUCUCCGGUAAUCUUCUCUGUUAAGCUUCAGCUCUAGGCCCGGCUUGGGGCACGAGUGGAGCUUAGGAAUGUCACUGCUGCUACGAGUCCAGCAGAGAGCAGCAGCGGCUAGGGGCAUUGGCAGAGCUUAGUGACAUCACCGCUGCUGCUCCCUGCUUGGUCCCGCUGCUAAAGAACAGCAGUGGUGAUGUCCCUAUGCUCCGCCCAUGCACCAAGCUGGCCAGAGCUGAAGCUUAACAGAGAAGAUCACCGGAGAUUCCCGCCACUGAACGGGAAAAGGUAAGUACCGUUGUCACCAGUGUCACCUGCACUAUCUGUCAGUACCGCCACUUUUGUGUAGGUGACACUGGUGACAUAUUUCCAUUAAAAACAAUAAAAGAAAAAGAAGGUUAAUAAAAUAAUUAAAAAAGAAAAAAACUUCUACAAAAAUAUCCCUAAAAAAACAUAUUUGGUAUGAAAUAUAAAAUUAAGAAAGUAGAAAAAAUAUAUAAAAAUUCCCCCAAAAACUAUAUAACCCCAUACAAAUCCCUCACAAUGCCAUAACCAUGCACUGCCUGUCAGAAUAAUGCUAAGAGGAAUAAUACACUGCACCACAAUAGUAGUGCAGUGUUUUAUAGAAAUAAUCAGAUCUUUGGUGAAAGGUUGCCCUCUAAUGGGAAUAUGGGUGAAAAAAACAACCCAUAAAAUAAAAGUGUAAUAACAUGAUUUAUUAACCCCCCCCCCUCCCCCACCAACAAAAAAAAGAAAAAGAAAACAGUAGAAAGGCAGAAAUGCUUUUGAAAAAAGAAAUACACAAUAAUAAUUUAUAAAAUGUUCUGCCCCCUCCCCCAAAGAAAACAUAUAUUACCCUUAAAAUGUAUGAAUAAAUAAAUGAAAAUUAAGACAUAACCCAAACAUUACAAAAGCAAACCCUCCAAAAACCUGUCAAUAGUCUGCGUCAACAUCAUCCUGGGAUGAUGGGAGGAGUAGUACACUGCACUACUAUAGAAAUAAAAAUCCCUAUCAUCUAAAUCCCAAUGUGUUCCAUUUUUUUUUGUUCCUUUUUCUUAUGCGGUUUCAUAAUCCCUGAGAUAAGUAGUUCUGGCCCUAGAGUGUUAUAUAUAUUAGCGUCUGUAGCAUGUAUCAGGAACAUGUUAUCAUACCUGUGUCUUUUUACAGGUGACUGAUGUUCGGUGAGAAGGUGAAAGUGACCUAUACCCCCGUCAACUGCAAGAAAGGAACCACAGGACAGGUGACUGAUGUUCGGUGAGAAGGUGAAAGUGACCUAUACCCCCGUCAACUGCAAGAAAGGAACCACAGGACAGGUAAUUAAUAUUUAUAUUAAUUACUGAUAACAAUCAGGCUAGAUGUAAUAUCUAGACCUGCAGAGAUGUCAUAGUCUCCACCUUAUACAUGAACAUAUAUGUGUUGUUAAUAAGCAUAUCGUCUAUGGACAGCUUCUUAUAUAACACAACCAUGUCUCAGGUACAGAGAAUAGGAACAUUUAUGAUCCUUAAUAUCUGUUUUUUAUUUGUAGGAAUUCCUUUAUCAAUAUUUAAUAGAAUAGACCCAACUUACCCCAAGGUUUACAAGUUUCCUUUGGACAAACUGACUGCAGAUUUAGAACAUAACUGUAAUGUAAAGAAAAAUCUAUAAUUUGUUUUUGCUACAAAUAUAUAAUUAUAAAAAUAAUGAGAAUUAAAAAACUAUAUAUUAAAAGACUAGAGCCAUAAUAAUACAUAGCCUGUUGAAAUAAUCAUGAAGCGCAUAAUACACUGCACUUUAAUACUAGUGCAGUGUAUUAUAUGAGCGAUCUUAAGAUCGCUGUUAAAAGUCCCCUUUGUAAAAAAAAACGUAAAGGCUAGCUAGGAAUUUUCAUCCGGAAUAACUAUUGCCGGAGGUUCCAAGCGUACAUUACCGUCAUCAUAGAUGGCAAUGUAUUCUGCCCGGAUCCUAUGUAAAUGAAGUUAAAAAUAAACAAUUUAUAAAAUAAUUCACCCCACCCAAACCCCUACAAAAAAAUAAAUGUUUAUAUAAAAAAGAAUAAAAAAAAAUAACCCAUUUCUCCCCUCACAUAAGCUAUAAUUAAAAAUCGGCUGUCAACAUAAUGCUGACAGCGAUAAUACACUGCACUAUAACACUAUUGCAAUGUAUUAUAUGGGUGAUCACAAGAUCACUGGGGAAAGGCCUCUCAUCGAAUUUGUUAAAAAAAAGACCAAAAAAUAAAAAAUAAAGAAAAAAAAGUAAAAAAAAA